RNAcentral lists this ribosomal RNA (223 nucleotides) under uncultured bacterium. Its description in RNAcentral is "partial 16S ribosomal RNA". It matches the Rfam family "Bacterial small subunit ribosomal RNA", at positions 524 to 740 of the family's 1533-position model. The record is from RNAcentral.
UACAGAGACCACAAGCGUUACUCGGAUUCACUGGGCGUAAAGGGUGCGUAGGCGGUUAGGUGUGUCAGGUGUGAAAUUUCAGGGCUCAACUCUGAAGCUGCGCUUGAAACUACCUAGCUAGAGUUUUGGAGGGGUAAGCGGGAAUUUCUGGUGUAGCGGUGAAAUGCAUAGAUAUCAGAAGGAACACCAAUGGCGAAGGCAAGGCAUUACCUUGGACAAAAAC